RNAcentral lists this transfer RNA (68 nucleotides) under Marmota monax (woodchuck). RNAcentral describes it as "tRNA.Ala". The record is from RNAcentral. Lineage: Eukaryota; Metazoa; Chordata; Mammalia; Rodentia; Sciuridae.
GGUUUAUGGCUCAGUGGCAGAGUGCUUGCCUAGCACAUGCGAGGGCCUGGGUUCAAUCCUCAGCACCA